RNAcentral lists this ribosomal RNA (387 nucleotides) under uncultured microorganism. RNAcentral describes it as "bacterial SSU rRNA". It matches the Rfam family "Bacterial small subunit ribosomal RNA", at positions 9 to 395 of the family's 1533-position model. The record is from RNAcentral.
GAGUUUGAUCUUGGCUCAGGACGAACGCUGGCGGCGUGCCUAAUACAUGCAAGUCGAGCGAGGGUUUUUAAGACCCUAGCGGCGGACGGGUGAGUAACACGUAGGCAACCUGCCCUCUCAGACCGGGAUAACAUAGGGAAACUUAUGCUAAUACCGGAUAGGUUUUUGGAUCGCAUGAUCCGAAAAGAAAGAUGGCUUUUCGCUAUCACUGGGAGAUGGGCCUGCGGCGCAUUAGCUAGUUGGUGGGGUAACGGCCUACCAAGGCGACGAUGCGUAGCCGACCUGAGAGGGUGACCGGCCACACUGGGACUGAGACACGGCCCAGACUCCUACGGGAGGCAGCAGUAGGGAAUUUUCCACAAUGGACGAAAGUCGUGAUGGAGCAAC